RNAcentral lists this transfer RNA (82 nucleotides) under Canis lupus familiaris (dog). It matches the Rfam family "tRNA". Rfam says of the family: Transfer RNA (tRNA) molecules are approximately 80 nucleotides in length. Their secondary structure includes four short double-helical elements and three loops (D, anti-codon, and T loops). Lineage: Eukaryota; Metazoa; Chordata; Mammalia; Carnivora; Canidae. RNAcentral also lists the same sequence under 1 other name. The record is from Rfam by way of RNAcentral.
CCUGGGUAGCUCAGUGGUUGAGCAUCUGUCUUCAGCUCAGGUCUUCAUCCUGCGGUCCUGGGAUCAAGUCCCGGCAUCAGGC